CUGUGACCACAGCCCCUCCACUGCCACACACCCCAACACAUAGAGACACAGCAUCAUGAAGGCAGAGGCUGCCUCGGGACGGCUCUGCCCCAGGGAGCGUGGGGCCAUCUGAGCCAAACAGAAUAGAGGGCUUGGACACAGCCCCGGAUGUGAGUUGAGCUCUGAAUGUCAAGACCAGUCCUGGACCUAUGACCACCCAGCUGGGAGGGAGCUGACAGAUAAGGAAACUGAGGCCCAGAGUGGUGCUGGAGGUCUCUGAGCCAGGAAGUGGCCCGUCGGGACUGGAAUGCAGGGCCCUGAGCCUGACAGCACUCUCCGGGAAGGGGCUAGAGCCCCGAGGGAUGAGCGAAAUGAUCAUGAUCAUCUUUGUCCCAUGCUUGCAAGUUCUAGAACUGCUACAAAGGAGCAGCCACGAGUGUCCCCCGCUCCCAGACCACUCCAAGCUGCUUCUAGAGGGACUGGACAUCCUGGAGCAGAAACAGGUGAGGAAACUGAAGCUCUGAGAGCAGUAGCUCCCCUGAGCCGUGCAGCUGGAGAGGGCUGCGCCAACAGCAGAGCUGGGGCUCUUUGCAGUCCCAUUUUCCACUGCUUUGGUCAGGGAGUGAGUCCCCUGAUGUCAUCCGAGGAUAUGAGGCAUCGCUAAAUCUGGCCAUCCCCUGAAGCACCCAGCCUCACCGACUUCCUGAAGCGUGGAUGAACGCUGCUGCCACAAAUGUGCUGUGACAACCGCUGACAAGGAGAAUGGUUCCAAGAAGUGACAAGUUGAAGGUCAUGAUCCUUUUGCUGACACAGAGCCUGGCACAUGGAGGCACCAAAUGCAUGUUAGUCUAGGCACUGUGGAGGAGCUCAGAUUGUGUUUGUUGAUUGACUGAGUGAGCAAAUGAAGAACGACUAAACCAAGCACAAAGCUGGGCGUCCUAAGGUGGAGCUGGGCUAAGGAAAGUGACUGUCUCUAGGGCCUUCACAAUUGAGGCAGGACCUUAUCCACCAUUUGACCAGGGUGAGGAACUGUGCAGGGCACCCAGGUGUGACCCAACCAUGUCCAUUGUUCCUCUCUGUCCCUUUGAUGGACAGCCUGUACCCACGACACUCUUUCCAGAUGCUGCCUGCAUCCUAGUUCCCUGUCCUAUCACCUCUGCAUGGAAAGAUGUGGAGUUGGCCACAUUGAUCCCAACACCAAUGGGAUCACCUGAGGAUGGAUCUGGUGACUGACCUUGUGCCUUCUCACAGUACAGGCUUUGGGAUCCACAGCAACCCAGGCAGAGUUUGUAACAGUGCAGGUUCCCAGGCCCCAUCCCAGACUGCCUGAGUCACUCUGGGCCUGAACCCAGGAAGAGUUAACCAUCUGGAGACUGUAGAUUGUAACAAUUUCCUUGGGUGACUUCCAGGCAGGCUAAAGUGUAAGAAAGGGUGCCAUGAAUCAGCAAAACAGCCAGCACUUCAACUUGCAACCUGAGCAUCCCACAGGGGUCCCAGCCAUCGUAGUGCCAGCUACAUUUGCUGAAGUGUGAGGCCUGGACUGCAGGCAGGCUCCAGGCCAACCCUUCCUUGCAUGACUUGCUCAGGGAUCUGUAUGACAUGCUGGUGCCAUUCUCUCCAUUUUACAGAUGAGGGACCAGAGGCCCAGAGCACUGAAGUACCUAGCUAAAAAGCUGGAACACCAUAUUACCCUGCCUCCCUGACAGCUUUCCUCCAUCCAAGUGGCCCAACUGUGGUUCAGAAAAUACAGCCUCAUUAAAGACAGGUGCUUGAAACCAUGGCCUGGAAGUGGUAAUCUGGUUGAGCUCACUUUGCUGGAUGGUGAAAGAGCCCAGCCUGCCCUGCCCUGCCCUUCCUUCUUUUUCCCUCUCCUCUCUUCUCCUCUCCUCUCCUCUCCUCUCCUCUCCUCUCC
Molecule: long non-coding RNA, 1891 nt
Filed under: Homo sapiens (human)
Lineage: Eukaryota; Metazoa; Chordata; Mammalia; Primates; Hominidae
Description: HSALNT0310363
Source: RNAcentral